AGCAACUUUUUUUUAUUCAAAUCUAAAAAAAAAAGUUAAAUUUCAUUUAAUUGCUUACUUUAUCACUUGGCUCAUGUCUCCUUUGGUCAUUCAUUUUUUUUUUUUUUUGCCUUGUACAGUCACACCACUGGCACUUUUAUUUACAAAAAAAAUGUUUACAUAAAAUGCCUUUCAUGACAAUUUUGUGGUUUCAUCUGAGCGAUCUCCUCCUACUUCUCAAGCAAGAUAUAACGGUUCUACUUUUACUACUAUCAUCAAUACCUAACGACCAAGAACAUCAAUUGUUUGUUCAUAUUUUAGUUUGGAAAAAUAUUUGAACAAAAAGGUGAAAUGGCGGAUAAAGCAAUCUGAACAUUUCGUUAAGUUGUUUUAACUGCCAAAGUGAAAGUGGACCCAAACAUCUCAAAUGAAAUAUUAAAACUUGCCAGGCAAAACACCGUCCAUAAGCACCAAAAUAACCCAAAUUUCACAAUCUAGUUCUGGGCCUUUUGAUAUUAUAACAUCAUUUAGAUAUUCACAAUAGAACAUGGAGAAAGAUUGGCUAGGUAUAUUACUAUAGUAGACCAACCUUUAACAUUCGUAAAAGAUGAACGAUUGACAAACUUUUUGUAUAUUGCUGCAAUACAGUAACCUUUAAAAUUUGCAAAAGAUGAUCAAUUCAUGAAUUUUUUGCAAAGG
RNAcentral lists this long non-coding RNA (678 nucleotides) under Citrus x clementina. RNAcentral's name for it is "Citrus clementina (C. clementina) long non-coding RNA (CCLE_LNC002684)". The record is from RNAcentral. Lineage: Eukaryota; Viridiplantae; Streptophyta; Magnoliopsida; Sapindales; Rutaceae.